CUUGUCUAGGUAAUUUUAUCCCAAGCAGUGGGGUGUCCAAUACUAUUGGUUAGUUUGAUUUGGUAAUCUAAUAAGACCAAUCAUAGAAUAGAGAUCAACAAGAGUAUAAAUAAUACUACAUGGAUUAAUGAUGGUAGAGUGUAAUGGUGUGCAGCUAGGACUGAGGUGUGGGAUGAUGCACUACAUGGCAAUCACAAGUUCCAGACUUUUUUAUAGGGGUUAACCCAAAUCGUAGGGAGAAGGAACCCUCUAAUGGGGCGCACUAAUAAUAGAAGAGAUAAAGAGAGGUAAAGAGAGGCAGAGCGAAGAAGAGAUAGAAAGAG
RNAcentral lists this long non-coding RNA (323 nucleotides) under Elaeis guineensis (African oil palm). Its description in RNAcentral is "long non-coding RNA (EGUI_LNC008232)". The record is from RNAcentral. Lineage: Eukaryota; Viridiplantae; Streptophyta; Magnoliopsida; Arecales; Arecaceae.